AAAAUUAGAGUGUUCAAAGCAGGCAGAUCCAAUUUUCUGCCACCGAAUACAUUAGCAUGGGAUAAUGGAAUAGGACCCUGUCCUCCUAUUUUCAGUUGGUUUUGGCAGCGCGAGGACUAGGGUAAUGAUUAAUAGGGAUAGUUGGGGGCAUUAAUAUUUAAUUGUCAGAGGUGAAAUUCUUGGAUUUAUGAAAGAUUAACUUCUGCGAAAGCAUCUGCCAAGGAUGUUUUCAUUAAUCAAGAACGAAAGUUAGGGGAUCGAAGACGAUCAGAUACCGUCGUAGUCUUAACCAUAAACGAUGCCGACCAGCGAUUAGGAGACGUUGAAUACAAAACACCACCAUCGGCGCGGCCGUCCUUGGCCGUGCGUCUCGUUUCGGCGAGGCGUUUGGCGGGGGCGGCUUAGCCCGGUGGCACCGGUGAAUGA
This 426-nucleotide ribosomal RNA is filed under the name Acanthamoeba sp. RNAcentral's name for it is "SSU rRNA". It matches the Rfam family "Eukaryotic small subunit ribosomal RNA", at positions 762 to 1112 of the family's 1831-position model. Lineage: Eukaryota; Discosea; Longamoebia; Acanthamoebidae. The record is from RNAcentral.